RNAcentral lists this ribosomal RNA (487 nucleotides) under uncultured bacterium. Its description in RNAcentral is "partial 16S ribosomal RNA". It matches the Rfam family "Bacterial small subunit ribosomal RNA", at positions 28 to 508 of the family's 1533-position model. The record is from RNAcentral.
GACGAACGCUGGCGGCGUGCUUAACACAUGCAAGUCGAACGAUGAAGCCCAGCUUGCUGGGUGGAUUAGUGGCGAACGGGUGAGUAACACGUGAGUAACCUGCCCUGGACUCUGGGAUAACCCCGAGAAAUCGGAGCUAAUACCGGAUAGGACCUUGGAUCGCAUGAUUUUUGGUGGAAAGUUUUUCGGUUUGGGAUGGACUCGCGGCCUAUCAGCUUGUUGGUGAGGUAAUGGCUCACCAAGGCGGCGACGGGUAGCCGGCCUGAGAGGGUGACCGGCCACACUGGGACUGAGACACGGCCCAGACUCCUACGGGAGGCAGCAGUGGGGAAUUGUUCGCAAUGGGCGCAAGCCUGACGACGCAACGCCGCGUGGAGGAUGAAGAUCUUCGGGUCGUAAGCUCCUUUCGAUCUAGAAGAAUUCCUUCCGGGUGAACAAUCCGGGAGGUUGACGGUACCGAGAGAAGAAGCCCCGGCUAACUCCGUGC